UGUAUCUGAAGUCUGACGAGGAUGAGAACCUCCGGGGGCAAGAGGUUCGACCCGAGCGAAGCGAGAGAACGUUGCGUCAGCAACGGCCCGCAGGGCGAGCCACGCAGUGGCGAGUCAUCCUC
RNAcentral lists this small RNA (122 nucleotides) under Salmonella enterica subsp. enterica serovar Virchow. Its description in RNAcentral is "partial RtT sRNA". It matches the Rfam family "RtT RNA". From Rfam's summary of the family: This family represents a bacterial cis-regulatory element known as RtT RNA. The exact function of RtT is unknown although it is thought that it may be involved in changing the cellular response in relation to amino acid starvation. The record is from RNAcentral. Lineage: Bacteria; Pseudomonadati; Pseudomonadota; Gammaproteobacteria; Enterobacterales; Enterobacteriaceae.